This 254-nucleotide ribosomal RNA is filed under the name uncultured bacterium. RNAcentral describes it as "partial 16S ribosomal RNA". It matches the Rfam family "Bacterial small subunit ribosomal RNA", at positions 524 to 776 of the family's 1533-position model. The record is from RNAcentral.
UACAGAGGGUGCGAGCGUUGUUCGGAAUUAUUGGGCGUAAAGGGCGCGUAGGCGGUGCGGUAAGUCACCUGUGAAAUCUCCUGGCUCAACUGGGAGCUUGCAGGCGAAACUGCCGUGCUGGAGUGUGGGAGAGGUGCGUGGAAUUCUUGGUGUAGCAGUGAAAUGCGUAGAUAUCAAAGAGGAACACCAGUGGCGAAGGCGAGUCCCUGGACAACUUCUGACGCUGAGGCACGAAAGCUAGGGGAGCAAACAGG